ACAGGACUCUAAGAAAUGGUCGUAUAAUCUUGAAUUCUUCUUGGUUCUUGAAAAGUAAUUUUGAGACUACAGUUUUUCUCUACACAGCAAGAAAAAUCUAUAGAUACAUUAUAUAUAAAGGCAUUUCCUUCGACUCAACUAAAACCCUAACUAACUAAACUAACUCAAGUCUUGUGUACUGUUUUUAUCUCUGAAUUCUGAAGUUAAAACCACUUAUAUAUACGCAAUGCGUGGAGCGUUGGGUCUAUCUAUUUUAGAGUUUACAGGUUUUGAUCAGUGGAAAUUCUGAAGCAUAUUUUGCAUUUCUUUGAAGCUGUGCAUGCCAUAGAUGAUUGCAUAUAUCAGUAUAUAUAUUUUAUAGAUAUACUGUUAACCCAUUUAUAAAAAAAAUUAUCUUGCAAAAUGCUGUACUCAAU
RNAcentral lists this long non-coding RNA (416 nucleotides) under Olea europaea subsp. europaea. The record is from RNAcentral. Lineage: Eukaryota; Viridiplantae; Streptophyta; Magnoliopsida; Lamiales; Oleaceae.